AUUGAACGCUGGCGGCAGGCUUAACACAUGCAAGUCGAACGAUGACUCUCUAGCUUGCUAGAGAAGAUUAGUGGCGGACGGGUGAGUAACAUUUAGGAAUCUGCCUAGUAGUGGGGGAUAGCUCGGGGAAACUCGAAUUAAUACCGCAUACGACCUACGGGUGAAAGGGGGCGCAAGCUCUUGCUAUUAGAUGAGCCUAAAUCAGAUUAGCUAGUUGGUGGGGUAAAGGCCCACCAAGGCGACGAUCUGUAACUGGUCUGAGAGGAUGAUCAGUCACACCGGAACUGAGACACGGUCCGGACUCCUACGGGAGGCAGCAGUGGGGAAUAUUGGACAAUGGGGGCAACCCUGAUCCAGCCAUGCCGCGUGUGUGAAGAAGGCCUUUUGGUUGUAAAGCACUUUAAGCAGGGAGGAGAGGCUAAUGGUUAAUACCCAUUAGAUUAGACGUUACCUGCAGAAUAAGCACCGGCUAACUCUGUGCCAGCAGCCGCGGUAAUACAGAGGGUGCGAGCGUUAAUCGGAAUUACUGGGCGUAAAGCGAGUGUAGGUGGCUCAUUAAGUCACAUGUGAAAUCCCCGGGCUUAACCUGGGAACUGCAUGUGAUACUGGUGGUGCUAGAAUAUGUGAGAGGGAAGUAGAAUUCCAGGUGUAGGGGUGAAAUGCGUAGAGAUCUGGAGGAAUACCGAUGGCGAAGGCAGCUUCCUGGCAUAAUAUUGACACUGAGAUUCGAAAGCGUGGGUAGCAAACAGGAUUAGAUACCCUGGUAGUCCACGCCGUAAACGAUGUCUACUAGCCGUUGGGGUCCUUGAGACUUUAGUGGCGCAGUUAACGCGAUAAGUAGACCGCCUGGGGAGUACGGCCGCAAGGUUAAAACUCAAAUGAAUUGACGGGGGCCCGCACAAGCGGUGGAGCAUGUGGUUUAAUUCGAUGCAACGCGAAGAACCUUACCUGGUCUUGACAUAGUGAGAAUCCUGCAGAGAUGCGGGAGUGCCUUCGGGAAUUCACAUACAGGUGCUGCAUGGCUGUCGUCAGCUCGUGUCGUGAGAUGUUGGGUUAAGUCCCGCAACGAGCGCAACCCUUUUCCUUAUUUGCCAGCGGGUUAAGCCGGGAACUUUAAGGAUACUGCCAGUGACAAACUGGAGGAAGGCGGGGACGACGUCAAGUCAUCAUGGCCCUUACGACCAGGGCUACACACGUGCUACAAUGGUAGGUACAGAGGGUUGCUACACAGCGAUGUGAUGCUAAUCUCAAAAAGCCUAUCGUAGUCCGGAUUGGAGUCUGCAACCCGACUCCAUGAAGUCGGAAUCGCUAGUAAUCGCAGAUCAGAAUGCUGCGGUGAAUACGUUCCCGGGCCUUGUACACACCGCCCGUCACACCAUGGGAGUCUAUUGCACCAGAAGUAGGUAGCCUAACGAAAGAGGGCGCUUACCACGGUGUGGUCGAUGACUGGGGUG
This 1454-nucleotide ribosomal RNA is filed under the name uncultured bacterium. RNAcentral describes it as "bacterial SSU rRNA". It matches the Rfam family "Bacterial small subunit ribosomal RNA". The record is from RNAcentral.